RNAcentral lists this long non-coding RNA (335 nucleotides) under Mytilus galloprovincialis (Mediterranean mussel). Lineage: Eukaryota; Metazoa; Mollusca; Bivalvia; Mytilida; Mytilidae. The record is from RNAcentral.
UGCAAGGUCCGCAAUACCACUCCACUAGUACUAAACAUAUAAACUAGUGUUGCGUAGUAUUGAAAGGAACGGAUAUGAACUCUUCGUUUUCAUAUGAUUAGAUUGAAAUAAAACUCGAUGCAAUUGGGCUCAUUUGGAAUAAUAUCAUCUCUUCUCAAUUUUACAUAGGAACUAGACUGAGCAACACAACCCACCGACAACCAGGAGUCUUCUACAGGGCUUCGGUAGGGGAAAUCGAUCUUGCUCCCCGUGUGGCAUCCAUCCUGGUGCUCAUUGUAUUUUUUGAUAACCUUUGUCUUUUCUAAUUCAUUGCGAUUGAAUGCAUACUGAUUCAC